Triticum aestivum (bread wheat) is the source of this 2279-nucleotide long non-coding RNA. RefSeq lists it as uncharacterized. The transcript has 4 exons. Lineage: Eukaryota; Viridiplantae; Streptophyta; Magnoliopsida; Poales; Poaceae. The record is from RefSeq and is a predicted model, not a curated record.
CCCCACUCGCUCGUCCUCCACCCCUCCCGUGGCCACCAGCCCACCACAUGCCGCCGCCAUCUCCUACAUCCACUGGCUGCCACCUUCGCCUGCUCCUCCCUCCCCCACAUCUCCCUCCCUCCCACGCAGCCGCCUCCCUCCCUCGCUCGCCCCUCAUCUGUAGACAGCGACGGCGGCUCCCGUGCCCACGUUCUUCCUCCCACGGUCCCACCAACCACCAACUCCUCCCCAUCGCCAUGGACGAGCUUGAGCUCCAGGUGCUCCUUCUCUACCUAGAAGCCCAAGGGUGUUCAAGGCGACAAGGGGAUCAACCUCAACCUGCCAACCCUAGCUGCCCCCAUGCCACCGCCGGCUCCUUCUCCCGGCCUGCCGGAUCCCGCCGUCCGCAUCCCCGGCGUUGUCGCCGUAGCCGUCAUCCUCGUGUGCACUCGACAGGAGAAGUGCGGCUCUCCUCUUAGCCCGUCUCGGUUCUCUAUUGCUCUCACAGUCCCCUUUCCAAACCCUAACCCUCCUCUUCUUCAUUAACUGCCGGCGAUUGGCAAGGGGAGCACAAGUCGAGGUGCGCCGCCUUCGAUUCUGCAGUGUGCCUGAUGGCUGCUUCUGCAGUAGCAGCGGCGGCAAGCCUUGGAAUGGCUCGGGACACCAGAAGCGGGCAACGAAGGCCAUUGCCAGGUUGGUAUUGUUCCAGACAUCGAAGAUUGUUGAUGUGUGAAGGCCGAGGGAAAAAUGUUAGUAACUACAAAGAGGGUACCAGCAUAAUCAAAUAAGGAUAGUUCACCAGGUGUAAAGGAAGUGGAGUGUGAACCCAGUGUUUCUUUUGACUACUCCAAGUCUGAAAUGAAUUCUAUGGAGAGGAAAAUGUUGAACCGGGUGCUUGAAGUAAAGGAGGAGCAUCCUAAGAAGCAGGUGUAAAUUUUGCCCUUAUGUCCUAUGAAAAGCUUACCAUUUCACGUCUUCAGUCAGGUUUGAGAAAAAGAUCAGAGUUUCAUCUGUUGUGAAAGUGGAAGGUAAUUAGACAUCAAAAGAUUAACAAGAAAGAUUUAUUGUGUCAAAUUUGUCCAAAUUAUAUUGAUGCUAUUAUUUUUUAGAUGACGUCGCUGUUAUUCUUACUAUAGAUGAUUUCUGUUCUUGCAACCUGAUUUUCUUAGGAAGACAGUAGAUUUCCCUACCGGGUGUAUUUGUAUUUUAAGUUUAGAAGGAUGUACAUGAAACAUAAAAUAAAGUAAAACCAACACAAGGCAGAGCCCUUUACUAGAAUGCACCAAGUCAUAUGUACUCCUCAACCCAAGGUUGCAGCCCUGAGUAUAUAAAUACGUGUUUCCAAAAUGAUGAUCUUUAAAAUAGAUAGACCCAGCUUCCUCAAACAUAACGUGAUAUUAUGUCAAACCUAUAUAAUCAGUACGCACAAUAUGUCCUCAAUUUUUGAAUUAGUGAAUUGCAUCAUUUUGUCCAUGUAGUGCUUACAUUCUUUUGUGGGAUCAAUUUAACCAUACAUGUUGCUCCUACAUUCUGGCUUUUGAUCCCCGCAAACAUUUUUAUUGCGAUGCCUAAUUUUUCACGGAGUUCAAAUUGUUUCAACUUAAGCUCUUGAAUAAAUUCAGUCCACUUUUCCUGAUUUCAGAUCAUUACAUACGUAUCAGUACCACUUUAAUAGUUAAAACCAUGCGAAGCAAUUGUGUCAAAAUUAGAUAUUUUGGCUACUCUAUUAAGAGUUUUUUUCCUAGUUGUAUCUGUGUUGAUCCUCAUGUCCAUUUGCUGAUCAAGAAGCUAACAUAGUAAUGUGUGUAGUUGCAGCUCCAGAAAAUUGGGAAGCAGUUCUUGGAGGUAUUAAAAACAUUAGGUUAUCUGGCCAAGCCCCCGUAGAUACAAAGGGCCGUGAGAAGGCUGGUUCUCUUCUUCCACCCAAGGUAUUCGUCAAUUGUCAGAGAGUUGUUCAGAUUCAAAAGUGUAGUUUACGAAGUCCAUGGACUAUGAAAAAUACAUGAGGAUGUGAUCAUCUUUGCGGAGAGUGUGGGUUUUAUGUAAUUUGAAAAUUCCCUUAAUUUUCUUGUGCUGUGCUACCAUUUGAAAUGUUUACUAGCUAGGAAGAAAAUGCAGCCUGUACAUGGGUUCAUGGCUAAUGGAUUGCAGAUUGGCCAUGGAUUUGGGCCUACUAAUCCACUAAUUUUUGACUGAUCUCAUAUCGUUGCAUAUUCGUUGUAAGCAAAGUUUUGCACAUUGAUCUGCUAUUUUUUAGGUGGAUCUAAUAUUUGUUUUCCAAUGGCUCCAGUUGCAUUGAA